GGAGAUAUGGCUGAGUGGUUUAAAGUAAUAGUUUGCUAAACUGUCGUGUAGUUAAUACACCGUGGGUUCGAAUCCCACUAUCUCCU
This 86-nucleotide transfer RNA is filed under the name Reclinomonas americana. RNAcentral describes it as "tRNA-Ser". It matches the Rfam family "tRNA". Rfam says of the family: Transfer RNA (tRNA) molecules are approximately 80 nucleotides in length. Their secondary structure includes four short double-helical elements and three loops (D, anti-codon, and T loops). Further hydrogen bonds mediate the characteristic L-shaped molecular structure. tRNAs have two regions of fundamental functional importance: the anti-codon, which is responsible for specific mRNA codon recognition, and the 3' end, to which the tRNAs corresponding amino acid is attached (by aminoacyl-tRNA synthetases). tRNAs cope with the degeneracy of the genetic code in two manners: having more than one tRNA (with a specific anti-codon) for a particular amino acid; and 'wobble' base-pairing, i.e. permitting non-standard base-pairing at the 3rd anti-codon position. Lineage: Eukaryota; Jakobea; Jakobida; Histionidae. The record is from RNAcentral.